Molecule: transfer RNA, 74 nt
Filed under: Podarcis lilfordi (Lilford's wall lizard)
Lineage: Eukaryota; Metazoa; Chordata; Lepidosauria; Squamata; Lacertidae
Description: tRNA.Lys
Rfam family: tRNA (bases 8-65)
About the family: Transfer RNA (tRNA) molecules are approximately 80 nucleotides in length. Their secondary structure includes four short double-helical elements and three loops (D, anti-codon, and T loops). Further hydrogen bonds mediate the characteristic L-shaped molecular structure. tRNAs have two regions of fundamental functional importance: the anti-codon, which is responsible for specific mRNA codon recognition, and the 3' end, to which the tRNAs corresponding amino acid is attached (by aminoacyl-tRNA synthetases). tRNAs cope with the degeneracy of the genetic code in two manners: having more than one tRNA (with a specific anti-codon) for a particular amino acid; and 'wobble' base-pairing, i.e. permitting non-standard base-pairing at the 3rd anti-codon position.
Source: RNAcentral
UGCUGGAUAGCUCAGUCAGUAGAGCAUGAAACUCUUAACCUCAGGGUUGUGAGUUCAAGCCUCACACUGGGCAA